CACCUCUAGCAUUCCUAGUAUUAGAGGCACUGCCUGCCCAGUGACGUCUGUUUAAACGGCCGUGGUAUCCUAACUGUGCAAAGGUAGCAUAAUCACUUGUUCCCUAAACAGGGACUUGUAUGAGCGGCCACACAAGGUUUCACUGUCUCUUACUUCCAAUCAGUGAAAUUGACCUUCCCGUGAAGAGGCGGGAAUAACUAAUAAGACAAGAAGACCCUAUGGAACUUUAAUUAACUGAUUCACGAAAAAUAACAUACAAACCUAACCUUCAGGGACAAGAGAACCUUUGACUGAAUCAGCAAUUUCGGUUGAGGUGACCUCGGAGAACAAAAUAACCUCCGAGUGAUUAAAAUCCAGACUAACUAGUUGAAAUAUACAAUCACUUAUUGAUCCAAACUAUUGAUCAACGGAACAAGUUACCCUAGGGAUAACAGUGCAAUCCUAUUCCAGAGUCCAUAUCGACAAUUAGGGUUUACGACCUCGAUGUUGGAUCAAGACAUCCUAAUGGUGCAACCGCUAUUAAGGGUUCGUUUGUUCAACGAUUAAAGUCUU
RNAcentral lists this ribosomal RNA (552 nucleotides) under Equus asinus (donkey). RNAcentral's name for it is "partial large subunit ribosomal RNA". It matches the Rfam family "Bacterial large subunit ribosomal RNA", at positions 1816 to 2597 of the family's 2925-position model. The record is from RNAcentral. Lineage: Eukaryota; Metazoa; Chordata; Mammalia; Perissodactyla; Equidae.